GUGGUAGUUAGUGGUAGAUGGUGGUAGUUGGUGGUAGAUGGUGAUAGAUGGUGGUAGAUGGUGUUAGAAGGUGGUAGAUGGUGGUAGAUAGUGGUAGAUGGGGUAGUUAGUAGUAGAUGGUGGUAGUUAGUGGUAGAAGGUGGUAGAUGGUGGUAGUUAGUGGUAGAUGGUGAUAGAUGGUGGUAGAUGGUGAUAGAUGGUGGUAGAUGGUGGUAGAUAGUGGUAGAUGGUGUUAGAUAGUGGUAGAUAGUGGUAGAUAGUGGUAGAUAGUGGUAGUUGGUGAUAGAUAGUGGUAGAUGGUGGUAGAUAGUGGUAGAUGGUGUUAGAAGGUGGUAGAUGGUGGUAGUUAGUGGUAGAUGCUGGUAGUUAGUGGUAGAUGGUGAUAGUUAGUGGUAGAUG
Long non-coding RNA from Oncorhynchus tshawytscha (Chinook salmon), 399 nucleotides. The record is from Ensembl. Lineage: Eukaryota; Metazoa; Chordata; Actinopteri; Salmoniformes; Salmonidae.